UUCUUGGUCAAUUAGAGGAAGUAAAAGUCGUAACAAGGUUUCCGUAGGUGAACCUGCGGAAGGAUCAUUACAGAGUUCAUGCCCGAAAGGGUAGACCUCCCACCCUUGUGUAUUAUUACUUUGUUGCUUUGGCGAGCUGCCUUCGGGCCUUGUAUGCUCGCCAGAGAAUACCAAAACUCUUUUUAUUAAUGUCGUCUGAGUACUAUAUAAUAGUUAAAACUUUCAACAACGGAUCUCUUGGUUCUGGCAUCGAUGAAGAACGCAGCGAAAUGCGAUAAGUAAUGUGAAUUGCAGAAUUCAGUGAAUCAUCGAAUCUUUGAACGCACAUUGCGCCCCUUGGUAUUCCGGGGGGCAUGCCUGUUCGAGCGUCAUUUCAACCCUCAAGCUUAGCUUGGUAUUGAGUCUAUGUCAGUAAUGGCAGGCUCUAAAAUCAGUGGCGGCGCCGCUGGGUCCUGAACGUAGUAAUAUCUCUCGUUACAGGUUCUCGGUGUGCUUCUGCCAAAACCCAAAUUUUUCUAUGGUUGACCUCGGAUCAGGUAGGGAUACCCGCUGAACUUAAGCAUAUCAA
This 568-nucleotide ribosomal RNA is filed under the name Botrytis cinerea. RNAcentral's name for it is "eukaryotic LSU rRNA". The stretch from base 218 to 371 matches the Rfam family "5.8S ribosomal RNA". The record is from RNAcentral. Lineage: Eukaryota; Fungi; Ascomycota; Leotiomycetes; Helotiales; Sclerotiniaceae.